AGUGAACGCUGGCGGUAGGCCUAACACAUGCAAGUCGAACGGCAGCACAGUAAGAGCUUGCUCUUACGGGUGGCGAGUGGCGGACGGGUGAGGAAUACAUCGGAAUCUACUUUUUCGUGGGGGAUAACGUAGGGAAACUUACGCUAAUACCGCAUACGACCUACGGGUGAAAGCAGGGGAUCUUCGGACCUUGCGCGAUUGAAUGAGCCGAUGUCGGAUUAGCUAGUUGGCGGGGUAAAGGCCCACCAAGGCGACGAUCCGUAGCUGGUCUGAGAGGAUGAUCAGCCACACUGGAACUGAGACACGGUCCAGACUCCUACGGGAGGCAGCAGUGGGGAAUAUUGGACAAUGGGCGAAAGCCUGAUCCAGCCAUACCGCGUGGGUGAAGAAGGCCUUCGGGUUGUAAAGCCCUUUUGUUGGGAAAGAAAAACAGCAGGUUAAUACCCCGCUGUUCUGACGGUACCCAAAGAAUAAGCACCGGCUAACUUCGUG
This 492-nucleotide ribosomal RNA is filed under the name uncultured bacterium. RNAcentral's name for it is "partial 16S ribosomal RNA". It matches the Rfam family "Bacterial small subunit ribosomal RNA", at positions 29 to 507 of the family's 1533-position model. The record is from RNAcentral.